UAAAAUGAGAGUUUGAUCCUGGCUCAGGAUGAACGCUGGCGGCGUGCUUAACACAUGCAAGUCGAACGAAGCACAUUAUUUGAAUUCUUCGGGAGGAAGAUAAUGCGACUGAGUGGCGGACGGGUGAGUAACGCGUGGGUAACCUGCCAUGUACAGG
Non-coding RNA from Lachnobacterium bovis, 157 nucleotides. The record is from Rfam. NCBI's taxonomy places the organism in Bacteria, Bacillati, Bacillota, Clostridia, Lachnospirales, Lachnospiraceae.